UACGUAGGGAGCAAGCGUUGUCCGGAAUCAUUGGGCGUAAAGGGCUCGUAGGCGGCCAACUAAGUCAGACGUGAAAUCCCUCGGCUUAACCGGGGAACUGCGUCUGAUACUGGAUGGCUUGAGUUUGGGAGAGGGAUGCGGAAUUCCAGGUGUAGCGGUGAAAUGCGUAGAUAUCUGGAGGAACACCGGUGGCGAAGGCGGCAUCCUGGGCCGGCCCUGACGCUGAGACGCGAAGGCGUGGGGAGCGAACGGG
RNAcentral lists this ribosomal RNA (253 nucleotides) under uncultured bacterium. RNAcentral describes it as "partial 16S ribosomal RNA". It matches the Rfam family "Bacterial small subunit ribosomal RNA", at positions 524 to 776 of the family's 1533-position model. The record is from RNAcentral.